CCCUCACUUGCCAAAGGGGAUCUGGGUUCUUAACUUUUGUCCUUAGAAAAAGUAAUAAAGGAAGAGAGGAACUUUAGUAGAAAAAGCCCUUUUUAUCUCUCUCUCUCUCCUCAUAACUUUUACUUUCUCUCUCCUUCAAUCAUAAAGCAAUCGAUUACAAAAUGAUUUACCACUUCUCUCUCUCUCUCACAUCCAUCUUUUCUGUUCUGCCAUGAAAGUCCUGUAUCCUUCUGUCCCUUUAGCAUUUACUACUCUCUUUUCGAGGAAUGGGCCAUCAGGGGACUGUAUCUCAUGUCAACUUCUUAUCCUUGCUAGGAUAUAUAUGUGAGAGUAGAGGAAGCAUAAUCUUUUCUUAGGGGGCUACACGUCGUGUAAUGAAACAUUUGUGUACUACUUCAUGCUUUCUCUGUGUUGCACGUUAAAAAGUUAAUAGUGAUCGCAAACACCAUUUGCC
This is a long non-coding RNA of Salvia miltiorrhiza (redroot sage), 454 nucleotides long. RefSeq lists it as uncharacterized. Lineage: Eukaryota; Viridiplantae; Streptophyta; Magnoliopsida; Lamiales; Lamiaceae. The record is from RefSeq and is a predicted model, not a curated record. The transcript has 2 exons.